AUACGUAGGGGGCGAGCGUUGUCCGGAAUGAUUGGGCGUAAAGGGCGCGUAGGCGGCCCGGUAAGUCUGAAGUGAAAGUCCUGUUUUUAAGAUGGGAAUUGCUUUGGAUACUGUCGGGCUUGAGUGCAGGAGAGGUAAGUGGAAUUCCCAGUGUAGCGGUGAAAUGCGUAGAGAUUGGGAGGAACACCAGUGGCGAAGGCGACUUACUGGACUGUAACUGACGCUGAGGCGCGAAAGUGUGGGGAGCAAACAGGAUUAGAUACCCUGGUAGUCCACACUGUAAACGAUGAAUGCUAGGUGUAGGGGGUAUCGACCCCUUCUGUGCCGCAGUAAACACAAUAAGCAUUCCGCCUGGGGAGUACGGCCGCAAGGUUGAAACUCAAAUGAAUUGACGGGG
This 397-nucleotide ribosomal RNA is filed under the name uncultured bacterium. Its description in RNAcentral is "partial 16S ribosomal RNA". It matches the Rfam family "Bacterial small subunit ribosomal RNA", at positions 523 to 918 of the family's 1533-position model. The record is from RNAcentral.